This 497-nucleotide ribosomal RNA is filed under the name uncultured bacterium. Its description in RNAcentral is "partial 16S ribosomal RNA". The stretch from base 54 to 497 matches the Rfam family "Bacterial small subunit ribosomal RNA", at positions 39 to 507 of the family's 1533-position model. The record is from RNAcentral.
GGGGGGGGGGGGGGGGGGGGGGGGGGGGGGGGGGGCGGGGGGAGGGGUGGGGGGCGGGGGCCGCUGACGUGAGCGGCGGACGGGUGAGUAACACGGGGGUAGCCUACGGAUAAGACGGGGAGAACGGCGGGAAACCGGAGCGAAUACCGGAUAAUAUAUUGAACCGCAUGGUUCAAUAGUGAAAGACGGUUUUGCUGUCACUUAUAGAUGGAUCCGCGCCGCAUUAGCUAGUUGGUAAGGUAACGGCUUACCAAGGCAACGAUGCGUAGCCGACCUGAGAGGGUGAUCGGCCACACUGGAACUGAGACACGGUCCAGACUCCUACGGGAGGCAGCAGUAGGGAAUCUUCCGCAAUGGGCGAAAGCUUGACGGAGCAACGCCGCGUGAGUGAUGAAGGUCUUCGGAUCGUAAAACUCUGUUAUUAGGGAAGAACAAAUGUGUAAGUAACUAUGCACGUCUUGACGGUACCUAAUCAGAAAGCCACGGCUAACUACGUG